Molecule: ribosomal RNA, 1233 nt
Filed under: Pseudocodium sp. NOU204271
Lineage: Eukaryota; Viridiplantae; Chlorophyta; Ulvophyceae; Bryopsidales; Halimedaceae
Description: bacterial SSU rRNA
Source: RNAcentral
UGUUGUUGCGGUUGAAAAGCUCGUAGUUGGACUUCUGGCGGCCUCGACCGGUCCGCCUAGCGCGAGCACUGGUUGAGGCCGUCGUUUGGUCGACGGUGCGCGUUGGUCUUCAUUGCUCGGCGCGCUCUCUGUCGGCGAUGUUACUUUGAGGAAAUCAGAGUGCUCAAAGCAAGCGUUCGCUCGUGACUUCACUAGCAUGGAAUAACACAGAUGGGCUCUUUUUCGCAACGUUGGUCUGCGUCAACUGAGCAACGAUCGAUAGAGACGGUCGGGGGCAUUCGUAUUGCGCAGUUAGAGGUGAAAUUCUCCGAUCUGCGCAAGACGCACUAAUGCGAAAGCAGUUGCCAAGGACGUCCUCUUAUGAUCAAGAGCGAAAGUCGGGGGAUCAAAGAUGAUUAGAUACCGUCGUAGUCCCGACCAUAAAUGAUGCCGACUGAGCGUCGGCGACUCGGCUCCAAGCCGGACGUCGGCGCUCUUAGAGAAAUUAAAGUCUAUGGGCUCCGGGGGUAGUAUGGUCGCAAGUCUGAAACUUGAAGGAAUUGACGGAAGGGCACCACAAGGCGUGGAUGUUGCGGCUUAAUUUGACUCAACACGGGAAAGCUUACUAGGUUUGGACACUUGAAUGAGGGACAUAUUGAAGCUCUUACCUUUUUUUGUGGAUGGUGGUGCAUGGUCGUUCUCAGCCCGUGGGUUGACCUGUCAGGUUUACUCCGGUAACGCGCGAGACCUCGGUUUGCUAAAUAGACGUGGCUGUUUCGGCACCCACGCUCUUCUUAGAGAGAGACUCGGCGAGAGUCGAGGGAAGUCGAGGCAAUAACAGAUCUGUGAUGCCCUUAGUUAUCCUAGGUCGCACGCGCCAUACAAUGUGGCGCACAACGAGUUUCCUUGGCCGACAGGAUCUCYUCGGCGCUGGKGCCUUCCCCUUCCAGAGGGGCGACUCUUCGCGAGCUGCUCCCUCGGGAUGGGCGUCGGCUCAGGKUCUGCACCAUGUGGCUCGACCCCUGCCUCGGCUGCCGGCCUCGGCUGGCUGCUGAGCAUGGCAGUAGGGCUGCUGGUGCAUCGAGGAGACGCAUGAAUAUGAGGGUAAUCUGACAGAGCGCUACGUGACUGGGCUAGACUUUUGUAAUUGUUGGUCUUGAACGAGGAAUGCCUAGUAAUCGCAGGUCAUCAUCCUGCGAUGAUUCGGUCCCUGCCCUUUGUACACACCGCCCGUCGCUCCAUCCGUGGCAUGCG